AACAGGUUGUAAACUUUAUUUCUCCCUUUGACUGAUUUCGGUUUUUAGAGGUAUUUUGCCCCGGGAUUUUCUCUUCCCAGACUUACAGAAGCAUGAGAGAAAGAACAAGAGAAGUAGCAAGAGCAUAUAAGCACGUGUGAACAAAUCCACCUCGGUCAGUACAAGUGGCUAAAGGGCAUUUUUCUGUGAGAUCUUGCUACCCAGUGGCGGUGCACGCCCAGCCUACCUGUCCGUCUGUGCCCUCUGAGGCUUUAUCUAGCAUCGCCUCAUGGACUAAGGAGUGAGACGGAGAACACAAAGCAAACAGUCUCCUCCCCGAGCCAGGCCUUCCCCAGGAGGACACCUUCCACAGUGGGGGUGUGCAGCUUCCAACUCUUCACCCAUCCCUUCCUUUCCCCAAGAAGGAUGAAUGCCAUUCCCCCAGGAAGGACUCUUCCAAAGGGCGCCACACUGCUCGAUUUCACAACUUCAAGCCAGGCGGUCCAAGGAGACUUCUUUCCCUGAAGGUGACUGGGGCACGGGUCUUCGGAGGCUCCUGAAUCUUACUUACAGCUUUGAGCAGAACCUUCAGAGUUGUACCUCCAACUGCCUCGACAACAACAGCUCCAUGACUGUCUCUCGCGAACUCCCCAGCUGGGUGAAGGCCCACGUCCCCCUAGGCCUCGCCUGCUGUCCUCGGCCUCCUGCCGCCCUUACUCUGCACUGACACCCUAGCGAAACCGCACAGCCUGCAGCACCUCUGUUGAUGCACCUUUUCCGCAUCCCUGGACCCUGUCCUGUCUCUCCUCGGCAUGUCACUCCCACCCUUCUGCAUCUGGCCAGCUCUCUUCCAUCCUUGAAGACUCAGGGACCAAUCACUUCCUUCAGGACAGCGCCCCUGAGCAGUGCACUUCCAGAUGACCCUGCUUCUAUUCUCUUUUCUGGCCCAAGAGGUGAACAGAAGGGAACUCUGACCUUCAGGGCAGAAGCUCUGUCUCAUCUGUGGGACCUCAGGCCCAGAGUCACUAUUCAAAAAUGUGAAACUGGAUUAUGAGCCUUCAAAGGAGAGCGAAUCCAUUUUUUUGUUUGCUUCCAGAUGUGAAGUGUGUUUUUUGGCUUAGUAAAAAUAAAUAAACUGUGCUUUAAAAAAAGAAAAAAAGCAUUGCAUAAGGUAUUUGCACAGAAUCGUCUAAAAGCCUAAAUAAAUAAUUAAGUCAUUAGCAAAAUAUCAACUAAUUUAGGAAGGGGACAUUCACAUGAAAUCAUACUGGAAGGGCACGCACACUUCACUGUGGUAUCCUCCAGCUGUAAGCCAGCAGUGUUUCGGUAAAUAAAACCAAUGAUGAGUAGCAUGUAUUAUUUCAUGGCAAAA
Molecule: non-coding RNA, 1351 nt
Organism: Manis javanica (Malayan pangolin)
Lineage: Eukaryota; Metazoa; Chordata; Mammalia; Pholidota; Manidae
Source: RefSeq, a predicted model, not a curated record